This 1043-nucleotide unclassified non-coding RNA is filed under the name Enterococcus faecium. Its description in RNAcentral is "partial 16S-23S ribosomal RNA intergenic spacer". It matches the Rfam family "Bacterial small subunit ribosomal RNA", at positions 34 to 1034 of the family's 1533-position model. Lineage: Bacteria; Bacillati; Bacillota; Bacilli; Lactobacillales; Enterococcaceae. The record is from RNAcentral.
CCCCCCACACCGCCGUCCCUAUACGUGCAAGUCGAACGCUUCUUUUUCCACCGGAGCUUGCUCCACCGGAAAAAGAGGAGUGGCGAACGGGUGAGUAACACGUGGGUAACCUGCCCAUCAGAAGGGGAUAACACUUGGAAACAGGUGCUAAUACCGUAUAACAAUCAAAACCGCAUGGUUUUGAUUUGAAAGGCGCUUUCGGGUGUCGCUGAUGGAUGGACCCGCGGUGCAUUAGCUAGUUGGUGAGGUAACGGCUCACCAAGGCCACGAUGCAUAGCCGACCUGAGAGGGUGAUCGGCCACAUUGGGACUGAGACACGGCCCAAACUCCUACGGGAGGCAGCAGUAGGGAAUCUUCGGCAAUGGACGAAAGUCUGACCGAGCAACGCCGCGUGAGUGAAGAAGGUUUUCGGAUCGUAAAACUCUGUUGUUAGAGAAGAACAAGGAUGAGAGUAACUGUUCAUCCCUUGACGGUAUCUAACCAGAAAGCCACGGCUAACUACGUGCCAGCAGCCGCGGUAAUACGUAGGUGGCAAGCGUUGUCCGGAUUUAUUGGGCGUAAAGCGAGCGCAGGCGGUUUCUUAAGUCUGAUGUGAAAGCCCCCGGCUCAACCGGGGAGGGUCAUUGGAAACUGGGAGACUUGAGUGCAGAAGAGGAGAGUGGAAUUCCAUGUGUAGCGGUGAAAUGCGUAGAUAUAUGGAGGAACACCAGUGGCGAAGGCGGCUCUCUGGUCUGUAACUGACGCUGAGGCUCGAAAGCGUGGGGAGCAAACAGGAUUAGAUACCCUGGUAGUCCACGCCGUAAACGAUGAGUGCUAAGUGUUGGAGGGUUUCCGCCCUUCAGUGCUGCAGCUAACGCAUUAAGCACUCCGCCUGGGGAGUACGACCGCAAAGGUUGAAACUCAAAGGAAUUGACGGGGGCCCGCACAAAGCGGUGGAAGCAUGUGGUUUAAUUCGAAGCCAACGCGAAGAACCCUAACCAGGUCUUGACAUCCUUUGACCCACUCUAGAGAUAAAGAGCUUUCCCCUUCGGGGGCAAAGUUGA